UUGUCCAUCUAUGUCAAUGAGUAAACAAAUCACCAACAUCGUUUUUUUGUAUGGUUAUAAAAAAGAAAAGAAAAAAAUAGUAGGCGUUGUUAUAGCAUAUUAAUUAAAAAGAAAAAGAAGAAAAUUGUUGAAAGGUAAAGUGAAGAGUGAGAAGUGACAAUAGUACAUGCACCUGACAGAGGAGAAGGGACAAUAGUGCAUCCACCACCAUCUCCUACACAAAAGAAAC
This 229-nucleotide long non-coding RNA is filed under the name Vigna radiata. Its description in RNAcentral is "long non-coding RNA (VRAD_LNC014498)". Lineage: Eukaryota; Viridiplantae; Streptophyta; Magnoliopsida; Fabales; Fabaceae. The record is from RNAcentral.